GUCCACGCCCUAAACGAUGUCAACUGGUUGUUGGGAGGGUUUCUUCUCAGUAACGAAGCUAACGCGUGAAGUUGACCGCCUGGGGAGUACGGCCGCAAGGUUGAACUCAAAGGAAUUGACGGGGACCCGGCACAAGCGGUGGAUGAUGUGGUUUAAAUUCGAUGCAACGCGAAAAACCUUAACCUACCCUUGACAUGGCAGGAAUCUUGCAGAGAUGCGAGAGUGCUCGAAAGAGAAUCUGCACACAGGUGCUGCAUGGCCGUCGU
RNAcentral lists this ribosomal RNA (266 nucleotides) under uncultured bacterium. RNAcentral's name for it is "partial 16S ribosomal RNA". It matches the Rfam family "Bacterial small subunit ribosomal RNA", at positions 793 to 1055 of the family's 1533-position model. The record is from RNAcentral.